Molecule: ribosomal RNA, 492 nt
Filed under: uncultured bacterium
Lineage: Bacteria
Description: partial 16S ribosomal RNA
Rfam family: Bacterial small subunit ribosomal RNA
Source: RNAcentral
AGUGAACGCUGGCGGUAGGCCUAACACAUGCAAGUCGAACGGCAGCACAGUAAGAGCUUGUUCUUACGGGUGGCGAGUGGCGGACGGGUGAGGAAUACAUCGGAAUCUACUUUUUCGUGGGGGAUAACGUAGGGAAACUUACGCUACUACCGCAUACGACCUACGGGUGAAAGCAGGGGAUCUUCGGACCUUGCGCGAUUGAAUGAGCCGAUGUCGGAUUAGCUAGUUGGCGGGGUAAAGGCCCACCAAGGCGACGAUCCGUAGCUGGUCUGAGAGGAUGAUCAGCCACACUGGAACUGAGACACGGUCCAGACUCCUACGGGAGGCAGCAGUGGGGAAUAUUGGACAAUGGGCGCAAGCCUGAUCCAGCCAUACCGCGUGGGUGAAGAAGGCCUUCGGGUUGUAAAGCCCUUUUGUUGGGAAAGAAAAGCAGCAGGUUAAUACCCCGCUGUUCUGACGGUACCCAAAGAAUAAGCACCGGCUAACUUCGUG